This 92-nucleotide microRNA precursor is filed under the name Columba livia (rock pigeon). RNAcentral's name for it is "microRNA cli-mir-129 precursor". Its record names the gene cli-mir-129. The stretch from base 9 to 82 matches the Rfam family "mir-129 microRNA precursor family". From Rfam's summary of the family: The mature sequence is excised from the 5' arm of the hairpin. The record is from miRBase by way of RNAcentral. Lineage: Eukaryota; Metazoa; Chordata; Aves; Columbiformes; Columbidae.
UGUCCCUCUCGGGUCUUUUUGCGGUCUGGGCUUGCUGUUCCUCCCGCAGCACUCAGGAAGCCCUUACCCCAAAAAGUAUCUGCGGGGGGUCA